CCUACGAGAGGCAGCAGUGGGGAAUAUUGCGCAAUGGGCGAAAGCCUGACGCAGCGACGCCGCGUGAGGGAUGAAGGUCUUCGGAUCGUAAACCUCUGUCAGCAGGGAAGAACGGUCACUGUGCUAAUCAGCAGUGAAUUGACCGUACCUGCAAAGAAAGCACCGGCUAACUCCGUGCCAGCAGCCGCGGUAAUACGGAGGGUGCGGGCGUUAGUUGGAAUUACUGGGCGUAAGGCGCACGUAGGAGGUAUGUCACUUAAAGGGUGAAGUCCCCUCGUUAAACGUGUGAACUGACUUUGAAACUGGCAAACGGGAGUGUGUGAGAGGAUAGUGGAAUGUCAGGUGUAGGAGUGAAAUCCGUAGAUAUCUGGCGGAACAUCAGUGGCGAAGGCGACUAUCUGGCACAUAACUGACGCUGAGGAGCGAAAGCGUGGGUAGCAAACAGGAUUAGAUACCCUUGUAGUC
RNAcentral lists this ribosomal RNA (465 nucleotides) under uncultured bacterium. RNAcentral describes it as "partial 16S ribosomal RNA". It matches the Rfam family "Bacterial small subunit ribosomal RNA", at positions 338 to 795 of the family's 1533-position model. The record is from RNAcentral.